This 77-nucleotide transfer RNA is filed under the name Solirubrobacterales bacterium. RNAcentral's name for it is "tRNA-Pro". It matches the Rfam family "tRNA". Rfam says of the family: Transfer RNA (tRNA) molecules are approximately 80 nucleotides in length. Their secondary structure includes four short double-helical elements and three loops (D, anti-codon, and T loops). RNAcentral also lists the same sequence under 14 other names. The record is from RNAcentral. Lineage: Bacteria; Bacillati; Actinomycetota; Thermoleophilia; Solirubrobacterales.
CGGGGUGUGGCGCAGCCCGGUAGCGCACCUGCUUUGGGAGCAGGGAGUCGGAGGUUCAAAUCCUCUCACCCCGACCA